GGGGCGGCCGCACGCAGGCCCCAGGGACGCGGUGACCUACCCCUUCCCCCCACCCCUUGUCGCGAGUAAGAGAAGCGGGACGAGUCAACCGAGGCCACACUCUCACCUAAAGACUACGACCCGACUCCGUGCCGCGGCUCCCGCCCGCCGCCCGGCUGCGCUUUAACCGCCGCCGCCGCCGCCCCCCGCGCUCUCAUUGGGGCGCCGCCGCCGCCCGCGCGCCCCCGCCGCGCACUUCCGCCCUCGUCGACGCGCCGCUCCUGCCGGGGCCGGCUCCCCGCGAGCGCGCCCCCGUCUCGCCGUCACGUGGCGGACUGGGACCAAUCGGCGAGGGAGAUAGCGGCGGUGGGCGGGGCUAGGCGCGCGGCGGGGCUAGGCGCCAAGCGACCGUUGGUGCUGAGGUGGGGGUGGUCCGUGUGGCGUUGGCCGUGGAGCCGUGAAUGAGGAUUCCAGUUCUCUCCUGGCGCUUGGAGAGGGCUGCUGGUAUAUUUACUGCUGUUCUUCCUUCGAAGCUUCUGUCAGUGCACAAAUCCACGUUCUGUCUGCUCAGCUCUAACGUUACCGAGCAAUCACACGGGCAGACCUAGAAGCGCUGUCAGUCACGAAUGAAAAAACGCACCCUUUUCUGCUUGUCUUUGAUUCAGCCUGCGACAGAGGAGCAAGACAGAAUGACCUCCCACCUCUUGUCUACUAAUGGCAGGCUGAAAUUGUGCUUGGAAUAGCUUUCUCCUGUCUCAAAGGAAGCCGAGUUCCGACAUUGCUGGAGGAAGUCACCACACUACCGUUCACUACAAGAUCACCUCGCAGCUUCAGGUGCAGCUGAGAUUUUGUCAGGAUCAAAGCACAAGGUCAUUUCUAAGGAGAUUCUUACUGAAAUUUUGUGAGACUAUCUCAGAAUGGUGCCUAUUCCCACCAGCGAAGGAGCUUUGCUAUCAGCUCCAAGGUCAGCAACUCCCUUCACCACUGUGCCUCCUCCACUGAAGGAAAAC
RNAcentral lists this long non-coding RNA (989 nucleotides) under Gallus gallus (chicken). RNAcentral's name for it is "long non-coding RNA NONGGAT008628". Lineage: Eukaryota; Metazoa; Chordata; Aves; Galliformes; Phasianidae. The record is from RNAcentral.